GUUUGGAGAGCUGUAUAAGAGGACAGAGGGAGCUUUCCUCAAACAAAUUUCCCUCCAGUUUUUCCUCCAGCGGCGGCGGCGGCGGCGGCGGCGUGGAGGGAAGGGAGGAAAGAAUUAAGAAAAUUGAAGCCUUCUCUCAGACAUGAACAAAGAAGAGCAAUUCGUGACAAACAGGCAAACAAACAAACAAACAAACAAGGACAGCGUUGAGUCUCGCAUGUCACGCCAGCCUCUCGGAAACUGUUGCUUGCUUCACCUGGCAAUUGUGAACCAGUAAGUCAAUUCUUGCUUCGCUUUGCUGAGGUUACCUUACCUUACCUUAGGUUAUGGUUAUGGUUAGGUUAGGUUAAGUUAGGUUAGGUUAGGUUAUGGUUAGGUUAGGUUAAGUUAAUUUAGGUUAGGUUUGGUUAUGGUUUGGUUAGGUUAAGUUAAAAGUUUGGUUUGGUAAAGUUAUGUUGGAUUAGGUCAAGUUAGCUUUGGUUAGGUUAGGUUAGGUCAGGUCAGGUUAGCUUAGGUCAGGUUAGGAUAGGUGAGGUGAGGUUAGGUUAAGGUAUGGUGCAAGAAGUAAAGGGGAUGGCAGUGUUGGUUGUAGGUGCAAAUUUAGCAGGAUAACUAAGGUGAUGCUAUAAGAAAAUGACAAAAGGUGUUUUUUGAUGCAUUUGUACCACAGGUGAUGCGUUGACCUAGCCUGACCCACCCCUAACCUAACCUCACCUCACCUAAACAAACCUAACACAACAAAAUCUAAAGCAACCUAACCUAACUUAACCUAACUUAAA
Long non-coding RNA from Scylla paramamosain (green mud crab), 779 nucleotides. RefSeq lists it as uncharacterized. The record is from RefSeq and is a predicted model, not a curated record. The transcript is spliced from 3 exons. NCBI's taxonomy places the organism in Eukaryota, Metazoa, Arthropoda, Malacostraca, Decapoda, Portunidae.